This is a non-coding RNA of Paramormyrops kingsleyae, 719 nucleotides long. The record is from RefSeq and is a predicted model, not a curated record. Lineage: Eukaryota; Metazoa; Chordata; Actinopteri; Osteoglossiformes; Mormyridae.
GCUAUGGCGUUUUUCACUCGAUCUCUGCAGGACCUGCCAGGGAUAACUGUGAACGACGUGAAUCGCAUCAUUCAUACCGCAUCCAAGACGCCUAUGUCAAAAAAGGACAAAGUCUUUAAAUUGUAUGUGUCCAGCUACAUACACAACUAUGAAGAUUGUCCUAAGGGAUUCAACUCCUGUGGAGUUACAGGAGUGCCAGUGUACCUGUGUGGCUGGUACAUCCUUGUGCAGCCAAGUGGCAGCUCUUCUUUUUCAAACUGCCCACUAUUCCCAGCUGAGGCUCACAUCAGUUCCCCCAGUGUUCAGCUGCACAGAGACUGAACAAAAGUGGCAUAAACCAAGGACUAUGGGUAUUAAACCUGGUCCAGUAAACAAGAUGGUUAUCCUGUCAGCCAGACUAAGAGAAAGAAGACUGGUAGAAGGAAUCAGGUUUGUGUUGCUAUCAAUACUACCCACCGACACUAAAAAAUUAAAAACUAAUAGUGACUAUUUUAGUAACACAGCACACCACAGCACACGGUGCACAGCGAAAUUUGACUGUUGGAGUAGUGAGUGGGUACAGUACCUUACUCAAGAGCACCUCAGUGGCAACUAGGUGGGAAAUCAAACUCACAACCGUCCAGUCAUGAGUCCCAUUCCUUGAAAUGAUAGGCCACCAAUGCCCCACAGUGACAUUUGGCAUGCACAACUACACAUGCAUAUGUGUGCACUCCGGUCCC